Mustela lutreola (European mink) is the source of this 951-nucleotide long non-coding RNA. RefSeq lists it as uncharacterized. Lineage: Eukaryota; Metazoa; Chordata; Mammalia; Carnivora; Mustelidae. The record is from RefSeq and is a predicted model, not a curated record. The transcript is spliced from 4 exons.
GACCACCCUGGUUUCCGGUUGGAUAUUGGAGCUGUUUGGUGGUCAAACAAAAAAGAAGGUCUGUCUUAGCUAGUGCUGCGGGACCAGGAUGAAACCACUCAUAGCAUGCAAAUAUCCCUACGACUCUCCACUCUCAAGUGCUUCACAUUCACGGUUCACAGAGCAGUUUGACACACAGGCUCCAUCAAGCCCACAACUUCGUCAGAAAUGACCGUCUGCAUUGCCGGAUGAGGAAAGAGAGAAGAGCGCUGAAGUUACCUGUCCACCUAGACAUUAAGGGGCUGCUCUUAGGCCAUACUAGCUCCUCGGAUUGCAUCCACUCUGUGCAAGGGACCAGACCAAGUGCUAAGUGUGACUUAUCCCCAUAGUUCAAAAUCAAACAUUUGACAACUAACUCAACUGAGGAUGUUUGACCCAGCCUCCUUUUCAAAUAGUUAAAGGUCAGAGCUACAUGAGCGCCGCUGGCGCCACCUAGGGGGCUGCCGGCACACUGCACUGAUGGGAACGCACGGUGCAUCCUCCCUCACUCCUGCCACCUGCCUGGUGCCCAGGAGCUAGAUCAGCCUGAGACAUUUUGAAAGAAGAGCCUAUAGAGACCUGAGUCACAAAGCCUGAAUUCUAGUUUUGACAUCGGCACGAACUCAUGAGGGACGUUGGACAAGUUCUUCCCCUUCUCAAGUCUUCUGAGUGCCUGACAGGAACACAGACGAGCCACUGGUCAACCACUUCAAUCAUACAAACGAAAGUGACAUCCUAAAGAAUGGUGUAACCAGACCUCAAUCAGUUAAGUGUCUGCCUUCGGCUCGGGUCAUGAUCUCAGGUCCUAGGAUGGAGUCCUGCAUUGGGCUCCCUGCUCAGCAGGAAGUCUGCUUCUCCCUCUGCCAGCCCCCUGCCCCUGCUUGUUCUCUGUCUCUCAAAUAAAUAACAAUUUUUUUAAAAAAAAUCAAAAAC